This 667-nucleotide ribosomal RNA is filed under the name uncultured bacterium. RNAcentral's name for it is "bacterial SSU rRNA". It matches the Rfam family "Bacterial small subunit ribosomal RNA", at positions 179 to 865 of the family's 1533-position model. The record is from RNAcentral.
CACAGCACCGCAUGGUGCAGGGGUAAAAACUCCGGUGGUAUGAGAUGGACCCGCGUCUGAUUAGCUAGUUGGUAAGGUAACGGCUUACCAAGGCGACGAUCAGUAGCCGACCUGAGAGGGUGACCGGCCACAUUGGGACUGAGACACGGCCCAAACUCCUACGGGAGGCAGCAGUGGGGAAUAUUGCACAAUGGGGGAAACCCUGAUGCAGCGACGCCGCGUGAGCGAAGAAGUAUUUCGGUAUGUAAAGCUCUAUCAGCAGGGAAGAAACUGACGGUACCUGACUAAGAAGCACCGGCUAAAUACGUGCCAGCAGCCGCGGUAAUACGUAUGGUGCAAGCGUUAUCCGGAUUUACUGGGUGUAAAGGGAGCGUAGACGGAUAGGCAAGUCUGGAGUGAAAGCCCGGGGCUCAACCCCGGGACUGCUUUGGAAACUGUUUAUCUAGAGUGCUGGAGAGGUAAGUGGAAUUCCUAGUGUAGCGGUGAAAUGCGUAGAUAUUAGGAGGAACACCAGUGGCGAAGGCGGCUUACUGGACAGUAACUGACGUUGAGGCUCGAAAGCGUGGGGAGCAAACAGGAUUAGAUACCCUGGUAGUCCACGCCGUAAACGAUGACUGCUAGGUGUCGGGUGGCAAAGCCAUUCGGUGCCGCAGCAAACGCAAUAAGC